AAAAAAUUUGGAAAGUUGUUCGGAGCAGUUGCUAGCUCUUUGUUCUCUCUCUCAUCUAAUUUACCAUCAAAUGCAUUUAUGUGUUAAUGCCUGAAACAAAUUGUUAUAAGUGGCUUUUUGGCAUGUUUUGUUUGUCUUAUUUGAUGUUCUCAUGGAAAAAAUUUGGAAAGUUGUUCGAAGCAGUUAAUAGCUGUUAGUUGUUCUUUGGCUAAAUGAGGAGGAUAGGUGAAAAUAAUCUUCCUAAAAUUUGAGUACUUACUGUUAAUUAUCAGUGACCUAGGUUUAAAAGGAAAGCUGAUUCCAU
Molecule: unclassified non-coding RNA, 304 nt
Filed under: Hevea brasiliensis (rubber tree)
Lineage: Eukaryota; Viridiplantae; Streptophyta; Magnoliopsida; Malpighiales; Euphorbiaceae
Source: RNAcentral